AGGUAUUGCGGGGAGGGGAAAGGCCCGGAUGUUCCCUAACAAUGAAAUCAUCGCCGACCUAUCAGAGCCGCCGAGCUGGGAUACCUGCCUGACCUGUCCCCCGGAGGGAGAAGAGUGGGCGGGAAAUUGGGGUGUCGGAAGAGCCUGGAAAGCAACUCAACAUUGGUUUUUAAAACUCCCGGCCUAGUCUCUUCACAUGGACUCGUUCAUUUCGCAGUUAUUGAGCACCUGCUGUUUGCCAGGUUUACCAAGAAAGGCUUCACAAAGUCACAGGAUGAGUCAAGAAUGAAUGAUACGGGUUUGACAGGCUAAUGGGGAAAGUGGACAUGACUCCUCCAGGUAUCAAAUUAGACGAUGCUGCCACGUUAAUUCUCCAAACGAGAAACAGAAGUGUAAUAGAGAUCUUAUUAACUGUGUUUUCCUCUUCGAGAACAUGCAUCGUCAAUAACGUCAUCGUGAAGCAGUGUGGAUCAUUUCUGCAAUUAAGGCUAUGGCCCGCUGGCUGGCUUGCACAGGUCAAAUUAACAGAAAGCAAUGCUUUUUAAGAGACGCCGCCUAGAACCUUCUCAGCAAUCUGCUUGUAAAAACGACAUCGGAUCGGGAGUUGUUAUGAUGAAUAUUACAUGCUCGGGCUAUUAGCACCCCAA
Non-coding RNA from Macaca mulatta (Rhesus monkey), 647 nucleotides. Lineage: Eukaryota; Metazoa; Chordata; Mammalia; Primates; Cercopithecidae. The record is from RefSeq and is a predicted model, not a curated record.